Molecule: long non-coding RNA, 1502 nt
Organism: Penaeus chinensis
Lineage: Eukaryota; Metazoa; Arthropoda; Malacostraca; Decapoda; Penaeidae
Exons: 2
Source: RefSeq, a predicted model, not a curated record
AGUAGUCAAUAAUUAACUGCUAGUCGUCAUGCUAACAAUGAAUCAAGCUAGAAUCUGGUCCUGGCUGCACAGAUUUCUGCCUGUCUCUCUGUUUGUCUGUCUCUCUGUUUGCCUGUCUCUCAGUCACGUUUGCGGUCGUUUGCACAGAUGUUUUGUGGAUUGUGUCAUAAGUGGAUUAACUAUGCUGUAAGUAAAGUUAAUGAACUUGUGAGCAUGCCUAUAACGAAUGUAUUUACUACACUCGGUAAUAUGUACUCCUAUGUAGCAAUGAUUGUAAUAUCUGGUGUUACCUGGAUUCUUCCCCGUGUAGAUUAUCUCUCGACCGAGUUCUAUAGAGAGUACAUAAGGCAUUUUGUCUCAAGCCUUAUCCCGCUAUUGCAAUCCGUAACAUAUCUUUUUUGUACGUACGGUGCCAAUCUACUAUGGUGGAAUAAGCCUAAUGUUGAGAACAUUACCUCAGGGUUGACCGGGUCUGAGAGCUAACGUAAGUUUGCCAAGACUGUGAAGCCUACAGCGACUGUACUUACUACACUAGGUAAAAUGUUUGUAAACAGUCUUUUUAGCUGGACUCUUCCUCUUAUGCAAGAUCUCCUGUCAACCCUUACCUCGAUAUUGCUGUCCUUAACCAAACUUUUUGGUACGUUCGGUGGCAAUCUACUGGGGUGGGAUUUUGGGACUGUGAAGCCUACAGCGACUGUACUUACUACACUAGGUAAAAUGUUAACUUUUGUAACAUCUCUUGUAAGCUGUCUUUUUAGCUGGACUCUUCCCCUUAUGUAAGAUCUCCUAUCAACCCUUACCUCGCUAUGGCUGUCCUUAACCAGACAUUUUGGCAAUCUACUGGUGUGGGAUUUUGGAACGGAAUAUAACGAGCCUAAGGCUAAGAACAUUACCUCUGGGUUGACCGGACCUGAGAGCUAACGUAAGUUUGCCAAGACUGUGAAGCCUACAGUGACUGCACUUACUACAAUAAGUAAGAUGUUCUCGUUUGUAGCAUCGUUUGUAAGCACUCUUGUUACCUGGAUUCUUCCCCGUAUACAAGAUCUCCCGUCCCAGUUCCAUAAGGAAUACAUAAGGCAUAUUGUGCCAAACCUUACCCCGCUAUUGCAGUCCGUAACAAAAUAUUUUUACACGUUCGGUGCCAAUCUACUGGGGUGGGGUUUACACGAUAUUGUGAUACGUGUACCGUGCUCGACUAAAGUUUUACCAACGAGCUCGAAGGCUGAGGCUGAAGCCUAAGGCUGAUGAGAAUAUUAUUUAAGGGUUGACCGGGCCUGAGAGCUACCGUAAGUUUGUCAAGACUGUGAAGCCUACAGCGACUGACUUUACUGCACUAGUUGAUAUGCGAGCUCGUAUUCUGAUACAUUAAAUCUGUAGGAUUUAUAAUAAGCUACGUGUCCAAUAGAGUCACCGAACCAGUAGCAAUUGGUGUCACUGACUUACUUAUUAGACUUAGGUUUCUGAGUCUAGUGUAAGUAAAUUGUAUAGUGAUCAUGAUCUUU